Molecule: ribosomal RNA, 687 nt
Filed under: Streptococcus sp. 336-03a
Lineage: Bacteria; Bacillati; Bacillota; Bacilli; Lactobacillales; Streptococcaceae
Description: bacterial SSU rRNA
Rfam family: Bacterial small subunit ribosomal RNA
Source: RNAcentral
GCUGAAGUCUGGUGCUUGCACUAGACGGAUGAGUUGCGAACGGGUGAGUAACGCGUAGGUAACCUGCCUCAUAGCGGGGGAUAACUAUUGGAAACGAUAGCUAAUACCGCAUAACAGUAUUUACCGCAUGGUAGAUACUUGAAAGGAGCAAUUGCUUCACUAUGAGAUGGACCUGCGUUGUAUUAGCUAGUUGGUGAGGUAACGGCUCACCAAGGCAUCGAUACAUAGCCGACCUGAGAGGGUGAUCGGCCACACUGGGACUGAGACACGGCCCAGACUCCUACGGGAGGCAGCAGUAGGGAAUCUUCGGCAAUGGGGGCAACCCUGACCGAGCAACGCCGCGUGAGUGAAGAAGGUUUUCGGAUCGUAAAGCUCUGUUGUAAGAGAAGAACUGUGAGAAGAGUGGAAAGUUUCUCACUUGACGGUAUCUUACCAGAAAGGGACGGCUAACUACGUGCCAGCAGCCGCGGUAAUACGUAGGUCCCGAGCGUUGUCCGGAUUUAUUGGGCGUAAAGCGAGCGCAGGCGGUUUGAUAAGUCUGAAGUAAAAGGCUGUGGCUUAACCAUAGUACGCUUUGGGAAACUGUCAAACUUGAGUGCAGAAGGGGAGAGUGGAAUUCCAUGUGUAGCGGUGAAAUGCGUAGAUAUAUGGAGGAACACCGGUGGCGAAAGCGGCUCUCUGGUCUGU